GCCUGGGUAGCUCAGUUGGUUAAGUGUCUGACUUUGGCUCAGGUCGUGAUCUCAUGGCUUGUGGGUUCAAGUCCCACCAUCAGUG
This 85-nucleotide transfer RNA is filed under the name Felis catus (domestic cat). It matches the Rfam family "tRNA". From Rfam's summary of the family: Transfer RNA (tRNA) molecules are approximately 80 nucleotides in length. Their secondary structure includes four short double-helical elements and three loops (D, anti-codon, and T loops). Lineage: Eukaryota; Metazoa; Chordata; Mammalia; Carnivora; Felidae. The record is from Rfam by way of RNAcentral.